Non-coding RNA from Hordeum vulgare subsp. vulgare (domesticated barley), 125 nucleotides. The record is from Rfam. NCBI's taxonomy places the organism in Eukaryota, Viridiplantae, Streptophyta, Magnoliopsida, Poales, Poaceae.
AAAUAACUUCCUCCAUCUCGAAAUACUUGUCGGUGGAAUGUAUAUAUCUAGACAUAUUUUAGUUUUAGAUACAUCCAUCUUUAUUCAUUUCUUCGACAAGUAUUUACAGACGGAGUGAGUAUGUU